GCCUACGGCCAUACCACCCUCAAAGCGCCCGAUCUAGUCUGAUCUCGGAAGCUAAGCAGGGACGGGCUUGGUUAGUACCUGAAUGGGAGACCGCCUGGGAAUACCAGGUGUUGUAGGCU
This is a ribosomal RNA of Xenopus tropicalis (tropical clawed frog), 119 nucleotides long. The record is from Ensembl. Lineage: Eukaryota; Metazoa; Chordata; Amphibia; Anura; Pipidae.